ACGAACGCUGGCGGCGUGCUUAACCCAUGCAAGUCGAACGGUGAAGCGCCUUCCUUUUUGGUGGGUGUGGAUGAGUGGCGAACGGGUGAGUAACACGUGAGUAACCUGCCCCCUUCUUCUGGAUAACCGCAUGAAAGUGUGGCUAAUACGGGAUAUUCUGGGUCUGUCGCAUGAUGGGUCUGGGAAAGAUAUUGUUUCGGGGGGGGAUGGGCUCGCGGCCUAUCAGCUUGUUGGUGGGGUGAUGGCCUACCAAGGCGGUGACGGGUAGCCGGCCUGAGAGGGUGGACGGUCACACUGGGACUGAGACACGGCCCAGACUCCUACGGGAGGCAGCAGUGGGGAAUAUUGCACAAUGGGCGCAAGCCUGAUGCAGCGACGCCGCGUGAGGGAUGGAGGCCUUCGGGUUGUGAACCUCUUUCGCCAGUGAAGCAGGCCUGCCUCGUUUGUGGGUGGGUUGACGGUAGCUGGAUAAGAAGCGCCGGCUAACUACGUG
Molecule: ribosomal RNA, 493 nt
Filed under: uncultured bacterium
Lineage: Bacteria
Description: partial 16S ribosomal RNA
Rfam family: Bacterial small subunit ribosomal RNA
Source: RNAcentral